RNAcentral lists this transfer RNA (75 nucleotides) under Camelus bactrianus (Bactrian camel). It matches the Rfam family "tRNA". From Rfam's summary of the family: Transfer RNA (tRNA) molecules are approximately 80 nucleotides in length. Lineage: Eukaryota; Metazoa; Chordata; Mammalia; Artiodactyla; Camelidae. RNAcentral also lists the same sequence under 2 other names. The record is from Rfam by way of RNAcentral.
AGAGUAACAGCUCAGUGGUAGAGUGCAUGCUUAUUAGCACGCAUGAAGUCCUGGGUUCAAUUCCCAGUACCUUCA